Anopheles coluzzii is the source of this 1008-nucleotide long non-coding RNA. RefSeq lists it as uncharacterized. The record is from RefSeq and is a predicted model, not a curated record. NCBI's taxonomy places the organism in Eukaryota, Metazoa, Arthropoda, Insecta, Diptera, Culicidae. The transcript has 3 exons.
GGGGUGCGCGGUAAGGGUAAGAAGAACAUAGGGGCAGGGGUACAAAUAAACGCAUCACAACACCAAAGUCUGGGUGAGACGGUGAUGGUGUGAAACGCUUCUUGCUUCAAGCUCUUGUGGUAACAGUGUUAAAAGCAACAACAACAACAGAGAAUAACGCAUCGCGUAGAAACAAACACACCGUUCGUGGGUAUGUCAGGGGGGGAAACAACGGGAAAAGCUCAAUUCUCUCUCAGCGAUGCCGCUUGGGAACCGAAGCUUUUUUCUCCCAGUUUCAACCCCCUCAUGUCCACAAACUGCCUUCGCUUACUAUUCCUAUCCCGUUUCUACAUUCUACAACGUUUGUUGCGUUCUCGCUCAUCAGGGUGUUUGUCAAUUCUCUCUUGCCACACGAAGAGAAUUCUCCUGCACACUUCGUGUGUUGGAUUCUACCCAUCCCUGUUGAACACACGUCAUUUUCUUCCAUCGCACUCAUCAGGGUGUUUGCUCUUUUCCAUCCAAGCCAAAGAGCGACUUCAGUGUGCUCUGAACCGUGGAUGUGAGAGUGUGUGUUUGUGUGCUGCGUGAACUAUUUUUCCUGCGUGAAACACUUUCCAUACUGCGCCAUCCGCGGUGUUCUUUCUGCUUCAUCGGAGGACGAAUUUUUAUCAUCUAAUUGUUUGGUUUCAGAUGUGUGCUGCUACCGCUAGCUGUUCCUCAAACUACUUAAAAAGUGUGACACUGUGUGCACAGGCGUUCAAGUUUCAAUUGAUCCUCAAGCACAAAGGCGCGCCAAAUCUGAUGACAUCUUUCCUGAACCAAGCAGGCUGAACACGCGCACCACCACGGGCUCCAGCGCGGUGUGAAGAGGGAAGACGAAAAGACAGAAUUGGAAACAGCCGCGCCAGGCUUCCAACCACCGUGUGUGUGUGUAUGGAAGUAUGUGAGAACACAUGUGUGAAUCCUCUUGUGGGAACUGCAAAAAGAAGAGAAUAAAGAGUGUGAAGCAGCUAGACUGCCGCAACCAAA